AGCUGAAAUCAGUCGAAGAACCAGCUGGCUGCAACUGUUUAUUAAAACACAGCACUGUGCAAACACGAAAGUGGACGUAUACGGUGUGACGCCUGCCCGGUGCCGGAAGGUUAAUUGAUGGGGUUAUCCGUAAGGAGAAGCUCUUGAUCGAAGCCCCGGUAAACGGCGGCCGUAACUAUAACGGUCCUAAGGUAGCGAAAUUCCUUGUCGGGUAAGUUCCGACCUGCACGAAUGGCGUAAUGAUGGCCAGGCUGUCUCCACCCGAGACUCAGUGAAAUUGAACUCGCUGUGAAGAUGCAGUGUACCCGCGGCAAGACGGAAAGACCCCGUGAACCUUUACUAUAGCUUGACACUGAACACUGGUCCUUGAUGUGUAGGAUAGGUGGGAGGCUUUGAAGUGUGGACGCCAGUCUGCAUGGAGCCAUCCUUGAAAUACCACCCUUUAAUGGCUGGUGUUCUAACGUGGGCCCCUAAUCGGGGUUGCGGACAGUGUCUGGUGGGUAGUUUGACUGGGGCGGUCUCCUCCCUAAAGAGUAACGGAGGAGCACGAAGGUCAGCUAAUCCUGGUCGGACAUCAGGAGGUUAGUGCAAUGGCAUAAGCUGGCUUGACUGCGAGCGUGACGGCGCGAGCAGGUGCGAAAGCAGGUCAUAGUGAUCCGGUGGUUCUGAAUGGAAGGGCCAUCGCUCAACGGAUAAAAGGUACUCCGGGGAUAACAGGCUGAUACCGCCCAAGAGUUCAUAUCGACGGCGGUGUUUGGCACCUCGAUGUCGGCUCAUCACAUCCUGGGGCUGAAGUAGGUCCCAAGGGUAUGGCUGUUCGCCAUUUAAAGUGGUACGCGAGCUGGGUUUAGAACGUCGUGAGACAGUUCGGUCCCUAUCUGCCGUGGGCGCUGGAGAAUUGAGGGGGGCUGCUCCUAGUACGAGAGGACCGGAGUGGACGCAUCACUGGUGUUCGGGUUGUCAUGCCAAUGGCAUUGCCCGGUAGCUAAAUGCGGAAGAGAUAAGUGCUGAAAGCAUCUAAGCACGAAACUUGCCCCGAGAUGAGUUCUCCCUGACUCCUUGAGAGUCCUGAAGGAACGUUGAAGACGACGACGUUGAUAGGCCGGGUGUGUAAGCGCAGCGAUGCGUUGAGCUAACCGGUACUAAUGAACCGUGAGGCUUAACCUU
This 1167-nucleotide ribosomal RNA is filed under the name Klebsiella oxytoca. RNAcentral describes it as "bacterial LSU rRNA". It matches the Rfam family "Bacterial large subunit ribosomal RNA", at positions 1765 to 2925 of the family's 2925-position model. The record is from RNAcentral. Lineage: Bacteria; Pseudomonadati; Pseudomonadota; Gammaproteobacteria; Enterobacterales; Enterobacteriaceae.